UGCGCAGGCGGAAUAAUAAGUCAGUGGUGAAAUCUCUCGGCUCAACCGGGAAACUGCCAUUGAUACUGUUAUUCUUGAGUACAGUUGAAGUGGGCGGAAUGUGUCAUGUAGCGGUGAAAUGCUUAGAUAUGACACAGAACACCGAUAGCGAAGGCAGCUCACUAAGCUGUAACUGACGCUCAUGCACGAAAGCGUGGGGAUCAAACAGGAUUAGAUACCCUGGUAGUCC
Molecule: ribosomal RNA, 229 nt
Filed under: uncultured bacterium
Lineage: Bacteria
Description: partial 16S ribosomal RNA
Rfam family: Bacterial small subunit ribosomal RNA
Source: RNAcentral